UACGUAGGGUGCGAGCGUUGUCCGGAAUUAUUGGGCGUAAAGAGCUCGUAGGCGGUUUGUCGCGUCUGCUGUGAAAAUCCAGGGCUUAACCCUGGACCUGCAGUGGGUACGGGCAGACUAGAGUGCGGUAGGGGAGAUCGGAAUUCCUGGUGUAGCGGUGAAAUGCGCAGAUAUCAGGAGGAACACCGGUGGCGAAGGCGGAUCUCUGGGCCGUAACUGACGCUGAGGAGCGAAAGCAUGGGGAGCGAACAGG
RNAcentral lists this ribosomal RNA (253 nucleotides) under uncultured bacterium. RNAcentral describes it as "partial 16S ribosomal RNA". It matches the Rfam family "Bacterial small subunit ribosomal RNA", at positions 524 to 776 of the family's 1533-position model. The record is from RNAcentral.